Molecule: ribosomal RNA, 442 nt
Filed under: uncultured bacterium
Lineage: Bacteria
Description: partial 16S ribosomal RNA
Rfam family: Bacterial small subunit ribosomal RNA
Source: RNAcentral
CCUACGGGAGGCAGCAGUGGGGAAUAUUGGGCAAUGGGCGCAAGCCUGACCCAGCAACGCCGCGUGAAGGAAGAAGGCUUUCGGGUUGUAAACUUCUUUUUAGAGGGAAGAGCAGAAGACGGUACCUCUUGAAUAAGCCAUGGCUAACUACGGGCCAGCAGCCGCGUUAAUACGUAGGGGGCAAGUGGUGCCCGGAUUUAAUGGGUGAAAAGGGCGUGUAGCCGGGCUGACAAGUCAGAUGUGAAAUUCAGGGGCUCAACCCCGGACCUGCAUUUGAAACUGUUGGUCUUGAGUAUCGGAGAGGCAGGCGGAAGUCCUGGUGUAGCGGUGAAAUGCGUAGAUAUUAGGAGGAACACCAGUGGCGAAGGCGGCCUGCUGGACGACAACUGACGGUGAGGCGCGAAAGCGUGGGGAGCAAACAGGAUUAGAUACCCCGGUAGUC